Non-coding RNA from Zea mays, 89 nucleotides. NCBI's taxonomy places the organism in Eukaryota, Viridiplantae, Streptophyta, Magnoliopsida, Poales, Poaceae. The record is from Rfam.
GCUCAGGAGAGAUGACACCGACGCCAGACGGACCGGUCCAUCCGCGCCGUGUCUGUCCGUCUGAAGUGGGUGUCAUCUCGCCUGAAGCA